AAGAAGUGAUCGAUCCAUAGGUAUAUAAGUGUUCAAACCCCCUACCCACCCUCCAAACAACCUCGUACCCUAUCUCUCACCCCCUCACCCUCAGAAACCCUAGCACCACCAUAAACCGCCGGCCGAAAAUCUUCUUCGCCGGCGGCGAUCACCCAAAGGCUACCAAAUUUACACCGAUUGACCGCUUCACCCUCCUCUAUCCAAAUAUGCAACCACCUUCCCUCGAAUAUUACAAGAUUUCCUCGAAUAUCACUUUGAAAUAUGGAUUCCACCACCGUGUACGGUAGCGCCGCUUCAAAAUCACCCUAUAUUGAUACCAAAUUUCCUCUUCGCCUCCCUCGUGAUAAAUUCGCAAAUGGUUUCCUUCAAAUGCUGCUGCAAAGGCUCGAAUUUCAGAUUGAGAUUCUAACCUAAAAGCCCUAGCUUGUGCGUAAAGAUUUUUUAGGUUUUCCGGUGAGUCCGAACCCCAUUCUCCUUAGCUUCUGAGUUUUUGUUUUGUUAAGGAAAAAUUGCAAUCGAUUUGGUUGUCUUCCCUUUCUUCCUCUCUGAUUCUUUCUUACUUGGCUUGCCCAUUCGAAUUCAGUUAAGUGUUAAUGGAAACUUGCAUGUGUAAAUAGUCCUGAAAUUAAAACCAGUAGAUUUUGUUUUCAUUAUCCAGUUGUUUUACAUUGUUAAAUUGUAUAAAAGGUUUAGUUAUUGUGCUUUACCUUUAAUUGCAUGAUCAUGUACAAUUCCUAGUUUUUAACUUUAGGAUACUUAGGUUUGUUUGGGGGUUUGUAUUUCAGGGGUUUGUGAUUCAGGGAUUUUUAUUUUUUUAAUUUAAAGGUUCAAUUGAGGAAUUAAUUCAUGCGUCUUGCUUAAUCAUGGGUUUAAAAUUCCGCCAUGUAAAGCCCAAAAAUAAAACAGUUCAAUUCAAGACUUGAAGGACCCAUUAGGAUUUUGCCUUGGGUCAAAUUGACCCAGGUAGGUAAUGAUGUAAUUAAUAAUGCUUAAAAGGGUAUUUAGAGCAAUACAAACAUAGAAUCUUUUCAUAACUAGGAUAAGAUACUUCUAGUAGGGGUUAUCGGCUAAUUUCAAGCUUUAAAACUAGGUCUGCAAGUCAAAAAUCGAGAGACUGUAAUGCAAACUAAUUUUCAACAAAGAUGCCCUAAUCUUUGCUUAUAAAGGCAUUCCAAAACUUGCCUGUUAGGGGAUUGAUUUUGAUAGAAAAAAAGGGUGCUUAUAAGUUCGAGGGAAAAGUUCUGAAUAGAUUAGAGUUUUUUUCGAGUAACAAUAGAUCAGAAAAGAGUAAAAUAUACAGAAAAAUUGGUUGUUGUUUCAUUGAUGUUUGAGAUUGGUUUCAAGAGUUUUCGAGUUUAAAUUUGGUUACCUUUUGGGUCGUGGCAUACUGCUUGGAUUUUUGAUUGAUUUCAAUUGAAUUCAAGGCUAAUUUACCCGUUAAUACUGCAAUCAACACAUAGCUACCACUACUGACCUCAUUUUAUUCUUAUUCUCUUUGUACUACCAGGUACUUUUCUCUUUAAAUCCUGUUGGAUAUAUGUGCUACAUUGAAUAUGAAGUGAGAAGUUUGAAAUCAUCACAAUUGCAUUUGUUUUUGUCAUUUUCGAUUCUCUUAAUAAUAUUUAUAUGCUUAGUUAUUGGAUUCAAUGUAAUUCAGUUAGUAUCAGUUGGAUUAAUCAGCUUAUCAUGUUAUAAUGGACUGCUGGUCAAGCCUGGAUCAGGGGCUGAAUAUGUGUUUAAGUUGUGUUAGCUAAAUAUGUAUCAUUAUGGGACUGUUAAAAUGCCGUGACAAUGAGCACUAUUUGAGCGUUUGAAUUUAGUUACAAUUUUGAGGUAGUUGUGUCUGGUUAGUGAUAGUUUUUUUGUUGUUGAAAUAAUUCUAUGGUCUAGUUUAUGUGCUUGAAUUUAAAAUCAACAACUCAAAGAUUAAAAUAACCAUACUGUAAUAUGCUAUACAGGGAUUAAGUGUUCAUCAUAUGAAUGAGUCAUGUUUUUGAUAACCUGCAGUUAUACCACUCUUU
Molecule: long non-coding RNA, 2021 nt
Filed under: Nicotiana benthamiana
Lineage: Eukaryota; Viridiplantae; Streptophyta; Magnoliopsida; Solanales; Solanaceae
Description: long non-coding RNA (NBEN_LNC021714)
Source: RNAcentral